Molecule: long non-coding RNA, 547 nt
Organism: Theobroma umbraticum
Lineage: Eukaryota; Viridiplantae; Streptophyta; Magnoliopsida; Malvales; Malvaceae
Source: RefSeq, a predicted model, not a curated record
GUAAAGUAAGGAUAGAUUUUGGGCCAUUGAACAAGGGAGGAAAUUGGUGCAUGAAAUUUGAGUGGGGGAUGAAAUGGUCUACUGAGAAGUAAGGGAUAAAUAAGGAGAUUUGAGUUGAUGGAGGAACUUGGGAAAAUUUGCCCAUACCAAAGAAAAACAAGGGAAAGAAAAACAAAGGCAAAUAACGUGAGUUUGCCUUGAGAAAAAAAAAACCGCAGCUUUGAGAGGUAAGAAGGAGAAUUGGCCUUGAGAGCAAAAGAGGGAAGAAAGGAGAAAGAAGAAAAAAGAAAGGAGAAAGAAGAAAAAGGCUUGAAGAAGGCUCGAUUUUGGAGAAGAAUGAAGAAAACCAAAAGGUUUUCUCUUGCAUGCCAUUAUUGAAGCUUGAAAGAGAAAGUGGAGGUUUGGCUUAGAGAUUUUAAGAAUCUUCAAGGAUUCAAGAACCAGAUGCAUGCAUGUAGGUGGAUCUUGGAAUGCAUGUUGAUUUUGAGCUAGAUAAGCAAAGGCAAUGGUGAUCGAGGAUGUGAGGAGUUUGUGACUUAUGUGAGGG